RNAcentral lists this ribosomal RNA (1009 nucleotides) under Mycoplasma suis. RNAcentral describes it as "bacterial SSU rRNA". It matches the Rfam family "Bacterial small subunit ribosomal RNA", at positions 324 to 1351 of the family's 1533-position model. Lineage: Bacteria; Bacillati; Mycoplasmatota; Mollicutes; Mycoplasmatales; Mycoplasmataceae. The record is from RNAcentral.
CCUUGGCCCAUAUUCCUGCGGGAAGCAGCAGUGAGGAAUUUUUCACAAUGGACGAAAGUCUGAUGGAGCAAUACCACGUGAACGAUGAAGGUCUUCUGAUUGUAAAGUUCUUUUAUUUAGGAAAAAAAGCGCGGCAGGAAAUGGCCGCGCCUUGAUUGUACUAAUUGAAUAAGUGACAGCUAACUAUGUGCCAGCAGCUGCGGUAAAACAUAGGUCACGAGCAUUAUCCGGAUUUAUUGGGCGUAAAGGAAGCGUAGGCUGAAAUGUGUAUUCAUUGUUAAAAAUAUUUGCUUAACAAGUGUUCGCGGUGAAGAUUACAUUUCUAGAAUUAGUUAGAGGGUACUGGAAUUCAAUGUGUAGUGGUGGAAUACGUAGAUAUAUUGAGGAACACCAGAGGCUAAGGCGAGUGCCUGGAACAUAAUUGACGCUGAGGCUUGAAAGCGUGGGUAGCAAAUGGGAUUAGAUACCCCAGUAGUCCACGCCGUAAACGAUGGGUAUUAGUCAUUUGGAUUUAAGACUGAGUGAUGUAGCUAACGCGUUAAAUACCCCGCCUGGGUAGUAUAUAUGCAAAUAUGAAACUCAAAGAAAUUGACGGGGACCUGAACAAGUGGUGGAGCAUGUUGCUUAAUUCGAUAAUACACGCAAAACCUUACCGAGGCUUGCAAUCCUCCGCAACGCUAUAUAAAUAUAGUUGAGGUUAUCGGAGUGACAGGUGGUGCAUGGCUGUCGUCAGCUCGUGUCUUGAGAUGUUUGGUUAAGUCCCGUAACGAGCGCAACCCUUCUUAUUAGUUGCUUAGUUCUAAUAAGACUGAAUCGUAAGAUCUAGGAAGGAUGGGGCCAAGUCAAGUCAUCAUGCCCCUUAUGCCUCGGGCUGCAAACGUGCUACAAUGGUAGAUACAAUGUGUGACAAUCUAGCGAUAGUGAGUCAAUCACCUAAAGUCUAUCUCAGUCCGGAUAAAAGGCUGCAAUUCGCCUAUUUGAAGAUGGAAUCACUAGUAAUCCCGUAAGG